Molecule: transfer RNA, 57 nt
Filed under: Stephanurus dentatus
Lineage: Eukaryota; Metazoa; Nematoda; Chromadorea; Rhabditida; Stephanuridae
Description: tRNA-Cys
Source: RNAcentral
GAAUCUUUAGUAUAAUUUUGAGUAUGGUUAAUUGCAAAUUAACAGGUUGAAGAUUUU